This 648-nucleotide ribosomal RNA is filed under the name uncultured organism. RNAcentral's name for it is "bacterial SSU rRNA". It matches the Rfam family "Bacterial small subunit ribosomal RNA", at positions 1 to 663 of the family's 1533-position model. The record is from RNAcentral.
GGCUUAGAGUUUGAUCAUGGCUCAGGAUGAACGCUGGCGGCGUGCUUAACACAUGCAAGUCGAACGGACAUAGAGGGGCUUGCUCCUCUAUGUUAGUGGCGGACGGGUGAGUAACGCGUGAGCAACCUGCCCAUAUCAGGGGAAUAACACAGUGAAAAUUGUGCUAAUACCGCAUAAGACCACGAAGCGGCAUCGCUUUGCGGUAAAAGAUUUAUCGGAUAUGGAUGGGCUCGCGUCCCAUUAGAUAGUUGGCGGGGUAACGGCCCACCAAGUCGACGAUGGGUAGCCGACCUGAGAGGGUGAUCGGCCACAUUGGAACUGAGAAACGGUCCAGACUCCUACGGGAGGCAGCAGUGGGGAAUAUUGGGCAAUGGAGGCAACUCUGACCCAGCAACGCCGCGUGAAUGAUGAAGGUCUUCGGAUUGUAAAGUUCUGUGACGGGGGACGAACACAAUGACGGUACCCCGAUAGCAAGCCACGGCUAACUACGUGCCAGCAGCCGCGGUAAUACGUAGGUGGCAAGCGUUAUCCGGAAUGACUGGGCGUAAAGGGUGCGUAGGUGGUUUAGCAAGUUGGCAGCGUAAUUCCGGGGCUCAACUCCGGCGCUACUGCCAAAACUGUUGAACUUGAGUGCAGGAGGGGUAAGUG